GCCUGGAUGGCUCAGUUGGUAGAGUAUGUGACUCUUGGUCUCAGCAUUGUGAGUUCAAGUCCUGCGCUGGGCA
Molecule: transfer RNA, 73 nt
Filed under: Felis catus (domestic cat)
Lineage: Eukaryota; Metazoa; Chordata; Mammalia; Carnivora; Felidae
Rfam family: tRNA
About the family: Transfer RNA (tRNA) molecules are approximately 80 nucleotides in length. Their secondary structure includes four short double-helical elements and three loops (D, anti-codon, and T loops).
Source: Rfam by way of RNAcentral